AGGAAUCUUCCACAAUGGACGAAAGUCUGAUGGAGCAACGCCGCGUGAGUGAAGAAGGGUUUCGGCUCGUAAAGCUACUGUUGGUAGUGAAGAAAGAUAGAGGUAGUAACUGGCCUUUAUUUGACGGUAAUUACUUAGAAAGUCACGGCUAACUACGUGCC
Molecule: ribosomal RNA, 161 nt
Filed under: uncultured bacterium
Lineage: Bacteria
Description: partial 16S ribosomal RNA
Rfam family: Bacterial small subunit ribosomal RNA
Source: RNAcentral